UACGAAGGGGGCUAGCGUUGCUCGGAUUGACUGGGCGUAAAGGGCGCGUAGGCGGUUUGCACAGUCAGACGUGAAAUUCCUGGGCUUAACCUGGGGGCUGCGUUUGAUACGUGCAGGCUUGAGUUCGGAAGAGGGUCGUGGAAUUCCCAGUGUAGAGGUGAAAUUCGUAGAUAUUGGGAAGAACACCGGUGGCGAAGGCGGCUCACUGGCUCGUAACUGACGCUCAUGCACGACAGCGUGGGGAUCAAACAGG
Molecule: ribosomal RNA, 253 nt
Filed under: uncultured bacterium
Lineage: Bacteria
Description: partial 16S ribosomal RNA
Rfam family: Bacterial small subunit ribosomal RNA
Source: RNAcentral